Molecule: RNA transcript, 2558 nt
Organism: Zea mays
Lineage: Eukaryota; Viridiplantae; Streptophyta; Magnoliopsida; Poales; Poaceae
Exons: 20
Source: RefSeq, marked validated
GGCCAGAUCUCGCAUAUCUUCGUGAGUCGUGACCUCCGCUCGCGAAGUCGCUGGCUCAGGCGCUGCUACCGUUCGAGACAAGUCUCGCCGCCCACACCGCCACUAGGAAACCUUCUUCUCUCCUCGCCGCCCGCGGCCGGCCCCUUCUCCAGAACCUUCUAGAACCCAUCGGGGCUCCGGGAUGGAGCCCAGAAGACGAGAGCGCAGGGUCAUCGCCAUCGCCGGUGCGGCAGCGCUCGUUGCCGUGGGCCUCAAUAUCGCCUUCUCCGCCGUCGUCGCCCACCGUCGGAGGAAGCGACGAGAGCUUCCAGGGUUUACUGCUCAAGUCAACCUAUCAGCAGCUGCGAUUAAAAGAACGACCGACCGUAUCAUCUCUAAGUCAAGGGAAACUUAUGAUUCAGUGGCUGCAGUGCCCCUAGAUAAAGUCAGUUUUGCUAAUGUCAUUGCACCAUUGGCAGAAUUAGAUGCGCUGCAAUUCCCUCUGGUUCAAGCUUGUGUUCUUCCUAGGAUGGUAUCACCAUCUGAGGAUGUUCGCAAGGCAAGUGCUGAAGCAGAGAAGCUAUUGGAUUCCCACUUUGUGCUUUGCAGGCAGCGUGAAGAUGUUUAUCGUGUCAUAAAAGCAUUUACAGUGAAAGGCGAGAGAAUAGGUCCUGAAGCAACAAGAUUUCUUCAGUUUUUGGUGAAAGAGUUUGAGCGCAAUGGAGUAAAACUAUCUCAAAGCAAGAGAAAAGAAAUGGAGAAAUUGAAAUCUCAUAUAGAUGCAUUAAACUUGAAGUAUCUCCAAAAUUUGAAUGAUUUCACCAAAUUCCUUCUUUUAGGUGAAGAUGAACUAGCUGGAAUGCCCUUUGAGUUCCUUAAGGAUCUGGAAAAGGCUGAUGGGAAGUUUAAGGUUCCGUUGACUAGUUACCAUGUUACUCCAGUUCUUGAGCACUGCAAGGUUGGCUCUACCAGGAAGCAGAUUGCUGUUGCUUAUGGACAAAAAGGUGGGAAGGAUAAUGUAGCCAUCCUAGAAAAUUUGGUCCAGCUAAGACACAAGUUUGCUAAAUUGCUGGGGUACACCAACUAUGCUGAUUUUGCUAUUGAGCCCAGAAUGCCAAAGACUUCGAGGAAGAUCUUAGAGUUUUUGGAAGAGAUGUCUGAACAAUUAAGUGAUGUGGCUAAUAGAGAGCUCAACAUACUCAAAGACCUCAAGAUCAAGGAGGAAGGAAAUGCUCAGUUUGGAAUGGAAGAUUUGUUGUACUACAUCAAAAGAGCUGAAGAAUUCAAGGUUGAUCUUGACGUUGGUGAAAUUAAACAAUACUUCCCUGUUGGCCUGGUCAUAUCUGGAAUGCUGAAGAUAUUUCAGGAUCUAUUUGCACUACGAUUCGACGAAAUUAAGGAUGUUGAUGUUUGGCAUGAUACAGUUCGUGUGUUUUCUGUUUGGGAUGCAAGUUCAAGUGAUCUUUUGGGUUACUUUUUUCUUGAUAUCUUUUCCAGGGAAGGAAAGUAUGCCCACACUUGUGUUGUGACCCUUCAGAAUGGAUGCUUAUGUUCUAAUGGUACACGUAAGGUUCCGGCUGCUGUGAUAUUAUCUCAGUGUCCAAAAGAGUUUGAUGGUAAUUCAGCAUUGCUGCGGUUCCCUGAAGUUGUGAGGCUAUUCCAUGAAUUUAGCCAUGUGGUCCAUCACGUAUCCAACAGAGCCACCUUUUCAAGAUUUUCAGGCCUUCGACUGGAGGGUGACUUUGCUGAAAUUCCAAGCCUGCUACUCGAGAAUUGGUGCUAUGAGAGUAUUUCUCUGAAAAUGAUGUCCGGCUUCCAUCAGGACAUUACGAAAUCCAUAAGUAGUGAAGCUUGCCAAUCUCUGAAAAGAAGGCGUGAUUUGUUUGCUGGCCUGAAAAUGAAACAAGAGAUACUUUUGUGUGAGUCAUUUUGCUACCUAUCAAAUGAGGUGGAGUGAGAUUAUUGGUCCUUAAAUGUUAUCCAGCUCAGAAACUCCGACAAAAAAUAAUGAGGCCUUGUUGAUCAGAUAAUACAUUCAAGUGAGAAUGUGGACAUUGAUGACUUAAUCAAGGAUCUUCACCCCAAGGUAAUGUUGGGUAUACCUUUAUUGGAAGGGACCAGUCCAGCUUCAAGUUUUCCUCGUAUUGCCUUUGGCUAUGAUGCUGUGUGCUACAGUUACAUAUGGAGUGAGGUGUUUGCUGCUGAUCUUUUUGUAUCAAAAUUUAAAGAUGACUUGCUCAAUCAGCAUGCUGGAUUGCGGUUCAGAAAUAAGGUGUUGGCUCCAGGAGGCUCAAAAGAUCCCCUGGAGAUAAUAACGGACUACCUAGGAAGAGAACCAUCACUCCAACCUUUUAUUCAGAGCAGAACAAGGAACAGUCUGUGAGGGAUCAUUUAUGAUGUAACCGUUGAGUUUUUUCUUUCUUUUUUCCUUUUUGAAUUUAGCUAUAGAAGGCCUGCUGACUGUCUCGAGUUAUUUUUUUCGUAACGGACUGACAAGUCUGAUCUUUGUGCCAUUCUGUUUUCCGACGUCAUUUGUUUGACCAUUUAGUUAAGCUGGAAUACAAAAGAUGUCGCUAGAU